UGUAAGCGUAUACCAAAGUUGUUGCAGUUAAAACGCUCGUAGUCGGAAUUUGGCAGUUCCGGAUGUGUGCACGUCGUGUGCGCACUUUGCGGGGACUGCUUUUGUGGUCUUGCGUAGGAUGAGGCACUUUCAUUAGUGAACGUCCUCACGCAACCACUCUUUACUGUGAGAAAAUCAGAGUGCUCAAAGCAGGCAUUUGCCGUGAAUGUAUUAGCAUGGAAUAAUAGAAUAGGACUCGGUUCUAUUUUGUUGGUUUGUUGGGACUGAGUAAUGAUUAAGAGGGACAGUUGGGGGCAUUUGUAUUCCGGCGCUAGAGGUGAAAUUCUUAGAUUGCCGGAAGACAAGCUGCUGCGAAAGCGUCUGCCAAGGAUGUUUUCAUUGA
RNAcentral lists this ribosomal RNA (382 nucleotides) under uncultured eukaryote. Its description in RNAcentral is "partial 18S ribosomal RNA". It matches the Rfam family "Eukaryotic small subunit ribosomal RNA", at positions 592 to 976 of the family's 1831-position model. The record is from RNAcentral.